RNAcentral lists this ribosomal RNA (468 nucleotides) under uncultured bacterium. Its description in RNAcentral is "partial 16S ribosomal RNA". It matches the Rfam family "Bacterial small subunit ribosomal RNA", at positions 28 to 507 of the family's 1533-position model. The record is from RNAcentral.
GACGAACGCUGGCGGCGUGCUUAACACAUGCAAGUCGAACGGAAAGGCCCUGCUUUUGUGGGGUGCUCGCGUGGCGAACGGGUGAGUAACACGUGAGUAACCUGCCCUUGACUUUGGGAUAACUUCAGGAAACUGGGGCUAAUACCGGAUAGGAGCUCCUGCUGCAUGGUGGGGGUUGGAAAGUUUCGGCGGUUGGGGAUGGACUCGCGGGUUAUCAGCUUGUUGGUGGGGUAGUGGCUUACCAAGGCUUUGACGGGUAGCCGGCCUGAGAGGGUGACCGGCCACAUUGGGACUGAGAUACGGCCCAGACUCCUACGGGAGGCAGCAGUGGGGAAUAUGGCACAAUGGGCGGAAGCCUGAUGCAGCAACGCCGCGUGCGGGAUGACGGCCUUCGGGUUGUAAACCGCUUUCGCCUGUGACGAAGCGUGAGUGACGGUAAUGGGUAAAGAAGCACCGGCUAACUACGUG